AAUCCAUGACGCGGGCACCGCUUAAGAAGGUCCUUGAAUCGUUCAUGUACCUCAAACAGUUAUUCUGUUUCUUCUUAUUUAAAUGCCGAGAUCUCCUACCUGAUCUU
Molecule: small nucleolar RNA, 107 nt
Organism: Dioscorea cayenensis subsp. rotundata (Guinea yam)
Lineage: Eukaryota; Viridiplantae; Streptophyta; Magnoliopsida; Dioscoreales; Dioscoreaceae
Source: RefSeq, a predicted model, not a curated record